RNAcentral lists this long non-coding RNA (213 nucleotides) under Ananas comosus (pineapple). RNAcentral describes it as "long non-coding RNA (ACOM_LNC023635)". The record is from RNAcentral. Lineage: Eukaryota; Viridiplantae; Streptophyta; Magnoliopsida; Poales; Bromeliaceae.
AUUAUUAAUUUCGAUUUUGUGCCUCUGAUUCGCUGAUAGUGUAACGAUCCGACUAGCUAACAAUAAUAACUGAUUGGACCCAAAUCAUCGGCCCAAAAUAUUUAAGUUUAGCUAUUAUUACUAGUGUGUAGGUCUUUUAUACUUUAAUCAGAACCAUUCUUUCAUCCGACCCGCUAUCAAGGGACGAUAAGAAGAGGAUUUGAUAGCUAAAAA